AAAUUGAAGAGUUUGAUCAUGGCUCAGAUUGAACGCUGGCGGCAGGCCUAACACAUGCAAGUCGAACGGUAACAGGAAACAGCUUGCUGUUUCGCUGACGAGUGGCGGACGGGUGAGUAAUGUCUGGGAAACUGCCUGAUGGAGGGGGAUAACUACUGGAAACGGUAGCUAAUACCGCAUAAUGUCGCAAGACUAAAGAGGGGGACCUUCGGGCCUCUUGCCAUCGGAUGUGCCCAGAUGGGAUUAGCUAGUAGGUGGGGUAACGGCUCACCUAGGCGACGAUCCCUAGCUGGUCUGAGAGGAUGACCAGCCACACUGGAACUGAGACACGGUCCAGACUCCUACGGGAGGCAGCAGUGGGGAAUAUUGCACAAUGGGCGCAAGCCUGAUGCAGCCAUGCCGCGUGUAUGAAGAAGGCCUUCGGGUUGUAAAGUACUUUCAGCGGGGAGGAAGGGAGUAAAGUUAAUACCUUUACUCAUUGACGUUACCCGCAGAAGAAGCACCGGCUAACUCCGUGCCAGCAGCCGCGGUAAUACGGAGGGUGCAAGCGUUAAUCGGAAUUACUGGGCGUAAAGCGCACGCAGGCGGUUUGUUAAGUCAGAUGUGAAAUCCCCGGGCUCAACCUGGGAACUGCAUCUGAUACUGGCAAGCUUGAGUCUCGUA
Molecule: ribosomal RNA, 663 nt
Filed under: Shigella sonnei
Lineage: Bacteria; Pseudomonadati; Pseudomonadota; Gammaproteobacteria; Enterobacterales; Enterobacteriaceae
Description: bacterial SSU rRNA
Rfam family: Bacterial small subunit ribosomal RNA
Source: RNAcentral